AUUGAACGCUGGCGGCAGGCCUAACACAUGCAAGUCGAACGGUAACAGGGAUCAGCUUGCUGAUUCGCUGACGAGUGGCGGACGGGUGAGUAAUGUCUGGGAAACUGCCUGAUGGAGGGGGAUAACUACUGGAAACGGUAGCUAAUACCGCAUAACGUCGCAAGACCAAAGAGGGGGACCUUCGGGCCUCUUGCCAUCGGAUGUGCCCAGAUGGGAUUAGCUAGUAGGUGGGGUAACGGCUCAACUAGGCGACGAUCCCUAGCUGGUGUGAGGGGAUGACCAGCCACACUGGAACUGAGACACGGUCCAGACUCCUACGGGAGGCAGCAGUGGGGAAUAUUGCACAAUGGGCGCAAGCCUGAUGCAGCCAUGCCGCGUGUAUGAAGAAGGCCUUCGGGUUGUAAAGUACUUUCAGCGGGGAGGAAGGGAGUAAAGUUAAUACCUUUGCUCAUUGACGUUACCCGCAGAAGAAGCACCGGCUAACUCCGUG
Molecule: ribosomal RNA, 490 nt
Filed under: uncultured bacterium
Lineage: Bacteria
Description: partial 16S ribosomal RNA
Rfam family: Bacterial small subunit ribosomal RNA
Source: RNAcentral